RNAcentral lists this long non-coding RNA (1500 nucleotides) under Zonotrichia albicollis (white-throated sparrow). RNAcentral describes it as "lncRNA (ENSZALG00000008924.1)". The record is from RNAcentral. Lineage: Eukaryota; Metazoa; Chordata; Aves; Passeriformes; Passerellidae.
UGCAGGUUCUCAUUUAUCUCAAACAGGCCACAGCUCCUUCACUUUCUGUACCAUUUGCUAGUUACCCUAAUCCCUUCAGCAUUUUCUUUUGCCCUGCUAUUUCACAGAAGAGUUUAUAUACUGUAAAUUGCUUUCUGUCUCCCUUCCCACUAAGUUACCAUCUGUUAUGCAUUAUCCUCAAAUGCUAUUUGCAGUCCAACAAACUUCCACUAAAAAAGUAUGGGCCAUUUCCCCUAAUUUUCUUCUUCACUCUAGAUUUGGCUCUGUGUAAAGCAUAUGUACAGCUCUUCAAUCCUUGUUCAGAGGUAAAUCUGCUACCUCAAGGCUUUAACUUUCAUUUCUUUCAUCUGUCACUCAGUUUCCUGAAUGUUUCCUUCUCUUUUUUUUUUUUCCAGGAUGAAAAGGUGAGGAAUAUGCCUACAGUCUCUCUGCAAGGAUCUGCAACCUCAUCCAGCCUCUUCUAUUGCCAUCAAGUCAGAUAUCAAGGGAGGCAUCCUUUCAGCUUGUGCUGUGAACUCACUUGCCCACUCAGCUACUUCAGUGAAUGUGACAAGCUGCCAGGACAAGUAUAAUGUGCUUCACCCACCAACUGUCCUUCUUAUGCUCAUUUGCACAUGGAAGAAGAAACAGGAGCCCUUUGGAUCUAUAUAACUGAAGUCCAACAAUUCACAUUUUCCCUUCAACUGGAAAUUCAGAUGUUUUCUUUUUCAUGGCCAUGAGGAGAUCAUCCACAAACAGCACUUUAUAGAGCUGUCAGCACCACCAACAUUAGAGCCUCUACCCUGGGGAAGGGAAACACUGAAAGUUCCCUCAGAGCACGCCACAUCUUUAAUACAAAUCUGCUAAAUAGAUAUUUUCAUAAUGAAUUAUUUUCUGAUGAAUGAAUAAGCUUUUUCCAAUGAGUCAGUUGAAAAACAACUUUAAGUGAUGCGCCAAGAAAAUUGUGUUAUGAACAAUCCCACAAUUAACACCAGAAGGUUAGAGUGUUUUAAAUUUUCCUCCCUGACUUUUGAAACUAUAUUUGAAUUUUUCUCUCUUGAGUUAUCCCUACAGGGCAGAAGUAAUGUAACAAUGCAUUUCCACCCUUCUAAAGGUUUUCAAGCAAUGACAUUUACUCUGACCUAUGGAAGGGUACCAUACCUCUUAAUUGCACUUCAGCUUUUGAGCUGUUUAGGAAUUUAUUUCUCUAUUAAUUUUUUUCAAUAAUUGUAAAACUAUUAAGAAAUAUAAAGACAAAUUAUUUUUCUUUUAUUUUUGAACUUCUCUAUUCAUAAUCACUUUGGAGUUGCUAAAUGCAACCAGAGCAGUCUAGCAAGUAAUUCUAAGGUUCAUUAAGACAGCAGCUCAGUGGUGUGUUACUUUUAUCUUUUGCAAUCAGGACAUUGCUUUUUGGUUGUUUUCCUGUUGCACAUUUACUAUUGCCCAUAGGUAUAUUUGUUUAAAGAUGCAUGUAAAUCAUACCUGCACUCAUGUAAAAUAAACAUCUAAGGGGAAUAGUCA